This 594-nucleotide ribosomal RNA is filed under the name Triticum aestivum (bread wheat). RNAcentral's name for it is "partial small subunit ribosomal RNA". Lineage: Eukaryota; Viridiplantae; Streptophyta; Magnoliopsida; Poales; Poaceae. The record is from RNAcentral.
AUGAUACUGGAGGUUCUACUCCGGCUCCCGGUCAAAUCCAUCCUGCGUUUCCACUCCGUCUGUCCCUCCUGGGCCGCAACGCUGUCCUCCAAGGAUUUCCGCAGCCUCCACAUGGCGGCCUCCAAGAUGCUGCCGCCUGCACCCAAGCUACUCGUGCUCUCGCCCGCAGCAACAUUCGGCUCCGUCGCCGUGUACGCGUGCUCGCCGUCAAGCCCCGUAGACGACCUACUCUUCACCUUUGCCUGCGCCCGCCGCAACUCCGUCCAAGUGGUGACACCCUCACCAUGCUGUGGACUCACCCUCCUGUACGACGCCUCCGCGCCGGCUUACUAUGUUUGCAAUGCGGCUACAAGGGCGCUCACACGCCUGCCGCCUCACCGUGUUCCCACGUACGAUUCCAGUGCCGGACUGGGAUUUGACGCCGGGACAAGGGAGUACAAGGUCGUGAGGUUGAUCAAUGGGGUUUCCGACGAGAAGGAGACGAUCAGGUGUGACGUGUGCACGCCGGAGCUGAUCGCUGGAGGCCGGCGACCGGAGGAGUGCCCUUCAAAUGGUCCUGGUUUGCAAAUUCCACGGUUCAUCAUGCGGCGGUGA